Molecule: non-coding RNA, 27 nt
Filed under: Gallus gallus (chicken)
Lineage: Eukaryota; Metazoa; Chordata; Aves; Galliformes; Phasianidae
Also listed under: 6 other names
Source: RNAcentral
UGCAUAAUUUGUGGUAGUGGGGGACUG